AAAUGCGUAGAGAUCUGGAGGAAUACCGGUGGCGAAGGCGGCCCCCUGGACAAAGACUGACGCUCAGGUGCGAAAGCGUGGGGAGCAAACAGGAUUAGAUACCCUGGUAGUCCACGCCGUAAACGAUGUCUACUUGGAGGUUGUGCCCUUGAGGCGUGGCUUCCGGAGCUAACGCGUUAAGUAGACCGCCUGGGGAGUACGGCCGCAAGGUUAAAACUCAAAUGAAUUGACGGGGGCCCGCACAAGCGGUGGAGCAUGUGGUUUAAUUCGAUGCAACGCGAAGAACCUUACCUGGUCUUGACAUCCACGGAAGUUUUCAGAGAUGAGAAUGUGCCUUCGGGAACCGUGAGACAGGUGCUGCAUGGCUGUCGUCAGCUCGUGUUGUGAAAUGUUGGGUUAAGUCCCGCAACGAGCGCAACCCU
Molecule: ribosomal RNA, 422 nt
Filed under: Salmonella enterica subsp. enterica serovar Typhi
Lineage: Bacteria; Pseudomonadati; Pseudomonadota; Gammaproteobacteria; Enterobacterales; Enterobacteriaceae
Description: bacterial SSU rRNA
Rfam family: Bacterial small subunit ribosomal RNA
Source: RNAcentral